This 253-nucleotide ribosomal RNA is filed under the name uncultured bacterium. RNAcentral describes it as "partial 16S ribosomal RNA". It matches the Rfam family "Bacterial small subunit ribosomal RNA", at positions 524 to 776 of the family's 1533-position model. The record is from RNAcentral.
UACGGGGGGGGCAAGCGUUGUUCGGAAUUACUGGGCGUAAAGGGCUCGUAGGCGGCCAACUAAGUCAGACGUGAAAUUCCUCGGCUUAACCGGGGAACUGCAUCUGAUACUGGAUGGCUUGAGUUCGGGAGAGGGAUGCGGAAUUCCAGGUGUAGCGGUGAAAUGCGUAGAUAUCAGGAAGAACACCAAUGGCGAAGGCAGCUCUCUGGGACGGUACUGACGCUGAGACGCGAAAGCGUGGGGAGCGAACAGG